This is a transfer RNA of Ovis aries (sheep), 73 nucleotides long. It matches the Rfam family "tRNA". Rfam says of the family: Transfer RNA (tRNA) molecules are approximately 80 nucleotides in length. The record is from Rfam. Lineage: Eukaryota; Metazoa; Chordata; Mammalia; Artiodactyla; Bovidae.
UCCCAGGGGGUCCAGUGGUUAAGACUCUGGGUUCCCAACACAGGGGACCUGGGUUCGAUCCCUGGUCAGGGAA